RNAcentral lists this ribosomal RNA (457 nucleotides) under uncultured Thiobacillus sp. RNAcentral describes it as "bacterial SSU rRNA". It matches the Rfam family "Bacterial small subunit ribosomal RNA", at positions 919 to 1382 of the family's 1533-position model. Lineage: Bacteria; Pseudomonadati; Pseudomonadota; Betaproteobacteria; Nitrosomonadales; Thiobacillaceae. The record is from RNAcentral.
ACCCGGCACAAGCGGUGGAUGAUGUGGAUUAAUUCGAUGCAACGCGAAGAACCUUACUACCUUGACAUGUCCGGAACUUGCCAGAGAUGGCUUGGUGCCCGAAAGGGAAUCGGAACACAGGUGCUGCAUGGCUGUCGUCAGCUCGUGUCGUGAGAUGUUGGGUUAAGUCCCGCAACGAGCGCAACCCUUAUCAUUAGUUGCUACGCAAGGGCACUCUAAUGAGACUGCCGGUGACAAACCGGAGGAAGUGGGGAUGACGUCAAGUCCUCAUGGCCCUUAUGGGUAGGGCUUCACACGUCAUACAGUGGUCGGUACAGAGGGUUGCCAAGCCGCGAGGCGGAGCCAAUCCCACAAAGCCGAUCGUAGUCCGGAUUGUUCUCUGCAACUCGAGAGCAUGAAGUCGGAAUCGCUAGUAAUCGCAGGUCAGCAUACUGCGGUGAAUACGUUCCCGGGUCUU